Transfer RNA from Trichoderma atroviride IMI 206040, 88 nucleotides. It matches the Rfam family "tRNA". From Rfam's summary of the family: Transfer RNA (tRNA) molecules are approximately 80 nucleotides in length. Their secondary structure includes four short double-helical elements and three loops (D, anti-codon, and T loops). The record is from Rfam. Lineage: Eukaryota; Fungi; Ascomycota; Sordariomycetes; Hypocreales; Hypocreaceae.
UCCGAUAUGGUGUAGUGGCUAACAUCGCUCGCUCUCAACUUCCAGUCGAAGUACCGAGCAGCCCUGGGUUCGAUUCCCAGUAUCGGAG